GUUUGGAUGGCGGACAGGCGAAGAGCACCUGCUCGCUACAUUAAUGAACUAACUUUAAGAGAUUAGCGAGGAAUUUAGCAAUGACAUCCUUUGAUAAGCGAUAAAGGUGAUUUCAACAGCAAGGCUUGAAGAUGCGACUGUUUCUGGACCACUUUUGUCUGAAUUUUGGCAUGACUGCAAUCUAGUGCUGCCUGAAAUGAAGACACACCAGGACAUCUCUGAAUUCUGUCAUAAUCUGCUUUCAGCUGUCUCAUUUCCUCAGUCUCUCUAAAAAGCAGUUCCAAUUUUUCCAUCUCUGUCAUCAUGGUCAAUUUGUUUAGCGUUUUAUCUGAAAGGGAAAAUAAAAUCAACAUCAGUUAUGAUUUGCACAAGUGAAGAUAAAUAUAUAAACUGGUUUCCUGGAUGAUGACAGAAUUCAAUAGGAUAGGAUAUCAUAUCCUGUUCUCAACAGAGGUGUAUUUUGCAGACCAUUCAACAUGUUCAAUACCCAAAGGCCUGACAAGUUGAAGAAAAA
Molecule: long non-coding RNA, 514 nt
Organism: Mytilus californianus (California mussel)
Lineage: Eukaryota; Metazoa; Mollusca; Bivalvia; Mytilida; Mytilidae
Exons: 3
Source: RefSeq, a predicted model, not a curated record